Non-coding RNA from Phascolarctos cinereus (koala), 727 nucleotides. Lineage: Eukaryota; Metazoa; Chordata; Mammalia; Diprotodontia; Phascolarctidae. The record is from the annotation of a RefSeq genome assembly.
AUUUCAUCCAGGUGCCCAGACAAAUACUGUUACUACUACUACUACCCCGGUGACUACUGAGAGGAAUCAGAAGCCAGAAAGCAGCAAGGCUUUUCAUAGUAGGGCCACUUGCAUACAAUUCCUUGUACUGUGACAACCCAAGAGCUCCAGAGAACUUCUUUCUUCCAGCGUCCAAUCUCUCCAGAUUCAGAAUUUCUAAGUGACACCUCCUCCACCUCUGGCUGAUGCAGGAGCCUCAGUAUCCCCACUGCUCAACCAUGACUUUGGCCUCUGUCUUAGUGAUUUUGAUUCUCUUCUCAAUGAGAGGAGCAAGAACACAAACCGUGAACCAGCCUGAAGGUCAGAUCGCUAUAUCUGAACGGGACUCCCUGGAGUUGACAUGUACUGCUUCGUAUACAGGGAGCCCUAGGUUCUACUGGUAUGUUCAGUACCCCAAACAAAGCCUCCAGAUGCUCCUGAAAUAUUUCUCAGGAAACACUCUGGUUAGAGGUAGCAAAGGUUUUGAAGCAGAAUUUAACAAGAACAAUAAAUCCUUCAACCUGAGGAAACCGUCUGUCGAAGUGAGCGAUGCAGCUGUUUACUUCUGUGCUGUGUAUGACACAGUGACUUGAAACAUCAGGAGAGCUGCACGUGAAAUGCUGAGAUAUGAUGGACAAUGAUCCUGAGUAGUUAUUCUUUCUGCCCCUAGGGGGUGAUGUUGGUCUGAGACUCAACUUUAGCAUCUUUU